AGAGUUUGAUCCUGGCUCAGGAUGAACGCUAGCGGCAGGCUUAACACAUGCAAGUCGAGGGGUAUAGUUCUUCGGAACUAGAGACCGGCGCACGGGUGCGUAACGCGUAUGCAAUCUACCUUUCACAGAGGGAUAGCCCAGAGAAAUUUGGAUUAAUACCUCAUAGUAUAAUGAGUUGGCAUCAACACAUUAUUAAAGUCACAACGGUGAAAGAUGAGCAUGCGUCCCAUUAGCUAGAUGGUAAGGUAACGGCUUACCAUGGCAACGAUGGGUAGGGGUCCUGAGAGGGAGAUCCCCCACACUGGUACUGAGACACGGACCAGACUCCUACGGGAGGCAGCAGUGAGGAAUAUUGGACAAUGGGCGCAAGCCUGAUCCAGCCAUGCCGCGUGCAGGAUGACGGUCCUAUGGAUUGUAAACUGCUUUUGUACAGGAAGAAACACUGGUUCGUGAACCAGCUUGACGGUACUGUAAGAAUAAGGAUCGGCUAACUCCGUGCCAGCAGCCGCGGUAAUACGGAGGAUCCAAGCGUUAUCCGGAAUCAUUGGGUUUAAAGGGUCCGUAGGCGGUUUAGUAAGUCAGUGGUGAAAGCCCAUCGCUCAACGGUGGAACGGCCAUUGAUACUGCUAAACUUGAAUUAUUAGGAAGUAACUAGAAUAUGUAGUGUAGCGGUGAAAUGCUUAGAGAUUACAUGGAAUACCAAUUGCGAAGGCAGGUUACUACUAAUGGAUUGACGCUGAUGGACGAAAGCGUGGGUAGCGAACAGGAUUAGAUACCCUGGUAGUCCACGCCGUAAACGAUGGAUACUAGCUGUUGGAAGCAAUUUCAGUGGCUAAGCGAAAGUGAUAAGUAUCCCACCUGGGGAGUACGUUCGCAAGAAUGAAACUCAAAGGAAUUGACGGGGGCCCGCACAAGCGGUGGAGCAUGUGGUUUAAUUCGAUGAUACGCGAGGAACCUUACCAAGGCUUAAAUGUAGAUUGACCGGUUUGGAAACAGA
This 997-nucleotide ribosomal RNA is filed under the name uncultured bacterium. RNAcentral describes it as "bacterial SSU rRNA". It matches the Rfam family "Bacterial small subunit ribosomal RNA", at positions 8 to 1010 of the family's 1533-position model. The record is from RNAcentral.